This is a non-coding RNA of Taeniopygia guttata (zebra finch), 1236 nucleotides long. The record is from RefSeq and is a predicted model, not a curated record. NCBI's taxonomy places the organism in Eukaryota, Metazoa, Chordata, Aves, Passeriformes, Estrildidae.
GCCCAAUGCAUAAAGUCUUUGUUGUAGCCACAAACAAAAAAGUAAACUUUUAUUAACAGAGAUUAACUUGGUCCUCUGACAUCUUACAGCAAGCCCUGACCAGGUAGAUGUAAUCAAAAUCUAAUUUUAAACACGGAGAGCAAAAUUCAUAGGCUGACCAUCAUCACAUCUUCUUUGCACAGGUUAAAAUUAUGUUCUGCCAAGGGAACAGUGAGAAAAGCUGCCAUUGUGAUGAUUUAUUCCUACUUAAGGGGAAGCAGAGAUAAAGAGUGAUAGACACUGAUAAUGAUGGAAGUCCACGAUAAUACACCGAAGUGAUAAACUUCUUUGUGGCCCUCAUUGUGCCCAGUUGUCUUCAGCUGGUUAUGAGCUCUAGCCUCAAGCUAUUUACACCAUGAUCAGGCUAGUAAUUAGCAAAAUGUUUAAUAUAAUAUAGAAGCAAUUAGGAGGUGAUAACAUGCAAUUAAGAUGUGUUUUCAGAUUAAAGAUUUUAUAGUGCUCUCUUUCUUGAAAAGAUAAAGUGCCUAUCUCAAAAUGUCAAACUGCAGUGAUUUAAUCUGAGUUAUUUUCAAUUAAUAUGCAUGUAUUCUUGCGAUGUGUUCACCGUUGUUAUUGACAUUGAUAAAUUAAGCUCAUCCCAGCAGAAUUUAUCCUUGAGUCGCUCUAUAUUUCCUGAAUGUCAGCUCUUUAUUCGUAUUUUUUUAUGCCUACAAGCUGUGCACGAUCUAACUCUAAGUCCCUUGAUUCAUCCCUGGGAUUACAGUAAUGUGUCAGUCUGAGUGGAACAAUAAUCUGAAAGGGCAUUGUUAUAAAUAGUGUGUUAGAAUAUAAUUGUUUGUCAUGUCGUUUCUCCCCUUUAAAUCCCUCUGAGUCCUGUUUAAGUAAUUUAGACAGCUAGAAUGACAAGAGUCUUGAGACUUCACUUAUAGAGUUGUCCAACCAGUCUUCAGCCUACCCAGUCUUUUGAGACUGUCUCAUCUGCAAAGUAGGAAGUGCAAAGAACAGAUGAGUUCCGACUACACUGCAGAUUUGUUAUGAGAUUUUGCUCAGGCCAUUUAUAGAACAAUGUAAAUGCUACUGAUACUAAUUUUUCCCUGGCUAGUCAAUGAAAAUUCUUAGACAAUAGAAAUUAGGGUAUUUCCUAUCAUCAUUUAAGAAGUUAAAAUGCUAAGGAUGAUUUUUGAUUAAGUUUCUAAUUAUAAAAAUAAAAUAAAAAAAAACAUGACACAGGAAAAA